Non-coding RNA from Pelobates cultripes (western spadefoot toad), 377 nucleotides. The record is from the annotation of a GenBank genome assembly. NCBI's taxonomy places the organism in Eukaryota, Metazoa, Chordata, Amphibia, Anura, Pelobatidae.
CAGUCAUACAAUCUACACAUACAGGUACACUGUCAGAGAAACAGACAUACAUUCAUACAGGCACAGGCACAUAGAGAAAUACAGACACAGACAGGCAUAUAGAGACAUACAUACACAGUGAUACAGAGGUAUACAUUCACAGACAGGCAUACACAGACAUACAUACACACACAGUCAUACAGAGACAUACAUACACAGACAGUCAUACAGAGACAUACAGACUAAAUGUCUCUGUAUGACUGUUUGUUUUGUGUAUGUAUGUCUGCGUAUAUACACAGGGUGGCUAAAAGAUAGAUCUCCAUAUGCCAUGAAACUUCAACAAUGCUUUGAAAGCUGGGGCUCUACCGAUUCCCCAUGCUUGCAGAAUUGUAUUUAGC